GACAGAGGUGCCAAGCGUUAGGCGGAAUCACUGGGCUUAAAGCGUGUGUAGGCGGAUGCCUAAGUACCUUGUGAAAUCCCCCGGCUCAACCGGGGAACUGCUGGAUAUACUGGGUGUCUUGGGUCAUCUAGGGGCUGCCGGAACAAAUGGUGGAGCGGUGAAAUGCGUAGAUAUCAUUUGGAACGCCAACGGCGAAAGCAGGCAGCUGGGGAUGCACCGACGCUGAGACACGAAAGCCAGGGGAGCGAACGGG
RNAcentral lists this ribosomal RNA (253 nucleotides) under uncultured bacterium. RNAcentral describes it as "partial 16S ribosomal RNA". It matches the Rfam family "Bacterial small subunit ribosomal RNA", at positions 524 to 776 of the family's 1533-position model. The record is from RNAcentral.